Molecule: transfer RNA, 73 nt
Filed under: Felis catus (domestic cat)
Lineage: Eukaryota; Metazoa; Chordata; Mammalia; Carnivora; Felidae
Also listed under: 4 other names
Rfam family: tRNA
About the family: Transfer RNA (tRNA) molecules are approximately 80 nucleotides in length. Their secondary structure includes four short double-helical elements and three loops (D, anti-codon, and T loops).
Source: Rfam by way of RNAcentral
GCCUGGCUGGCUGAGUCAGAAGAGCAUGCGACUCUUGAUCUCAGGGUUGUGAGUUCGAGCCCCACGCUGAGUA